Long non-coding RNA from Mya arenaria, 555 nucleotides. RefSeq lists it as uncharacterized. The record is from RefSeq and is a predicted model, not a curated record. The transcript is spliced from 3 exons. NCBI's taxonomy places the organism in Eukaryota, Metazoa, Mollusca, Bivalvia, Myida, Myidae.
UCAAACCAUGCGAAUAUCACUCACUUUUUUUCGUCGAUACCGUUUUGGUGACCCCAAAAGUACUCGAUCCAAGUAUCGUGUUUAUGGCCAGCUACUCAAAUUCUUCAUUGCAUGGAAUGGCAUAGGUUACCUUUUAUUCAGAUUCAUGAAAAAGAGAGGCAGGGAAAUCGAUCCGGAUUUCGACUCUAAAUCCUCAGGUAUGCAGAUUGCUAGUUUGAUGGGCCACAGGGAAAUGGCGGUCAAGUACACAGUUAGAUAUGACAAGGAAAAGGGUUUCCAUGUUGACAAAUCAGAGGAAAAUGUGAAGCCAACGGAUGAUGCAACUUCUGUAGAGUCUUGAAACCAGGCAAGGAUAUUUAAUGUGUUCAAAGGAUAGCCAUGCUUUUACCCUUACAUUUGAAAACCAGAAGAUACCAGGUCUACACUGUGAUAUGUGACUAAAUGAGUUUGACAUUUGCAGAUGAUAGUGAUAUCCGCCAAAAAAGGAUGAUUAAUUGGAAUUGUGGUUAUAAAUUUGUCAAUGACUUUUCUAUGAAUUAAAUGAUUGUUGUCAUU